AUCCAGCUGACGAGUCCCUAAUAAGAUGAAACGCGCGUCCUGGAU
RNAcentral lists this non-coding RNA (45 nucleotides) under Schistosoma mansoni. The record is from RNAcentral. Lineage: Eukaryota; Metazoa; Platyhelminthes; Trematoda; Strigeidida; Schistosomatidae.